Molecule: transfer RNA, 65 nt
Filed under: Cryptocercus changbaiensis
Lineage: Eukaryota; Metazoa; Arthropoda; Insecta; Blattodea; Cryptocercidae
Description: tRNA-Pro
Source: RNAcentral
CAAGGAAUAGUUUAUUAAAAAUGUUAAUUUUGGGGAUUGAUGAUGGGAUUUUUUCUUUUCUUUGA